Serinus canaria (Common canary) is the source of this 2160-nucleotide long non-coding RNA. RefSeq lists it as uncharacterized. The transcript has 4 exons. NCBI's taxonomy places the organism in Eukaryota, Metazoa, Chordata, Aves, Passeriformes, Fringillidae. The record is from RefSeq and is a predicted model, not a curated record.
CAGCUUUUUGGUUAUAAACCCGUUGUUUUGGGCUUGAACUGCAGGCUUGGUCACCUGCGCUCUGCUGAAAAUAGAUCCAUCAGGAGUUAAUUAGGAUGAACUUCUGUGGGAUGAGUCCAAGCACCUCAAACAAGAAGCUGAACUAUUUGAGUAUGCUAAUGGAUUCAAAUGUUAAUCAAUACCCUAUCUUUGCCCUCCACCCUCUCUGCACUUAUCAGAGAAAUUGUGCCCAUAUCCCUACCCUGACAUCCCACCUCUGCUUCCAGCUGGCCCUGCUGUUCUUGUUGCCUGGAUACAAGUGGAGCAUGUGGAGGAAUGCUCCUGAGCUGCUGUGGGAUGGCCUCUUUAUCACAAGGAUUUAUCCACUGAUUAGCUGGGAAAAUGACUCAGCCUUCUGUGCAGACACCCGAAGGAAGCAGAGUUCGACUGGGCUGCUCCCACAAGGGGCCUUGCUCUCCUCUUCUUUCACACACUGAGCUGAGGCUUUCCUGCCAAUGUCAGCAGUCUACUGGAAAGAAUUAUCCGACUCCCAGGAGUGUUAAGCUCCAAGUGGAUUUAUGCACAUUGCUCAUAGAUUCCUUUGGGGUAUCUGAGCACCCUUUUCCCAGACCAGUAUUUUCUCCCAAAUUCUCUUUAACAAUGGGAAUAAAUGAGGACCAACCAAGGAGAGGAACUGUUGCAACAGAAAAUCUUGGACCAGGAUAUUUCCUCUUGUCUUCCCAAACAAAGACUGUGUUGAAGUCCAUGUUUACAGGACAACAGGGAUCACCCAGGCUCUUGCUCUCUUCAUUGCCCAUAUUAGCACAAUUUCCCAAUUUAAUGCCUUGGGGAAUGCUCAGAUAUCGUUGUACUGCAAGGAAAGUAACCCAGAACACUGUGUGAUCAAAAUAAUCAGUGAGGGUGUCUAUUUUCUGAAAUUUCCCUAAUCUAUGAGAAUUGCAACCAUUUACUGUCACUUUGAGAGCAGGAUGGUCAGAAGGCUUACAGAGCAGGGUGUUCCUGAAGUAUUUGUAGCGGAAAGGAAAUGCCCAUUUUCAUGGCUAGUGAGGAGAGAGUCCAUUCUGAUUCUUUCUCUACUGUUUGGCACUUCCCAGCAUAGAAGAAAAAAUUUACUUACCAAAAGUAAGAAGUACUAGUGAUUGAAAGUGACAAAAGUGUGUUUUCCAUAUUUUAUGCCACAUGCAUACAGGACCUCGGAUCAUACCAAAGUUAUUGUCUUAGCAGCUGAUAAAAAGUGUAUUUUUUAGACAUAUCAGUGGUAAGAAGCUCAUCCCUAGGUAACAAAGCACAAAUUUACCUGGUUCUUAUAUUUCAUCUUUGGGAAGGUUUACAAAAACUGAGUUUUUCCAAUGUGAUUUUCAUAUAAGGAGCAGUUAGGUGAAUGUGUUGGGCCUAUUUGUUUCUCUAUUUGUGUUUUUAAACAACAGUUUAAAAACACAUAUAGUAAAAAAUGCAUGUUAUGCAUUAUGAUACUUUAAAAGCUGCCACAAAUCCGUGUAAGAAAUUCUAUUGUUAUUCCAUAAAAAACAGCGCUGUUUAAAAUAAGUUAGACAAUGGAAGGCUUUCUCACAGAAACUCAUUACAUCACAGUCUGUUAAAAAUCAUGUUUUGCCUUGUAGUGUUUUCUCCUAAUUCUCAAAGCCAAGAGGACCAAUCGUAGGUGGGAUUUGUAUGAUUAUGCAAAAAGAGUAUUUAAGCAUUAGGAACUUUAAUUAUGCAGAAGCUUUUACUGAGGGAUUUUAAAUAAAAGAUUUGUGCACAUUAUAUUAUAAUGAGCAAAGUAAAGAUAUUUCUUGCACUUCUAUGAAAUAUUGCUGUAGUGAGGACAGGGCAAUUCAAUCAAUAACAAUACACGUUUUGGGUUUUUUAUUCCUCAGAUACCAGAAUUUGUCAAUCUCUGCUAGCUCCAUGUAACUUUUCAGAAUUUCUCAGAAAGACUGUGUGGUGUUUCCUUCAAUGCCUUAGGAGCCCUGACUACAGCAGGAGUGCUGAUGCAGACCUUAAAAUUUACAAAAGAAAAAACAUAUGAGAACAGAAGAGCAAAAGGAAAAGCACUGAAAUAAAUAAAAAAAUCGACAACAAAAUGGAUUUGCAAAAAAACACCACAGCUAAGACAGUGUCAGCCCUGGGAGUCGGCGCUGGGUGAACCUGGAUUCAUCU